GCUGUUUCUUUCCUUGAAGCCUGUUCUCCAUUGAUUUUUUCACUAGAUUAAAGCUUUUCCAUCGGGAAUCAAAUUCAUGUUUGUGAGAUCCUUGGAACUGCAAAACAUCACUAAUUAUCUUUAUUAUUAGAAAUAAAGACUUGGUAUCAUCUUCUGAAUUAUCAAGUAUAUAACGCAACAAUUUCCUUGUAACCCUUGCAAUAGUUUCACGAUAAUUCUCUCUUGAUAAAUC
This 232-nucleotide long non-coding RNA is filed under the name Gallus gallus (chicken). The record is from RNAcentral. Lineage: Eukaryota; Metazoa; Chordata; Aves; Galliformes; Phasianidae.